Molecule: ribosomal RNA, 340 nt
Filed under: uncultured eukaryote
Lineage: Eukaryota
Description: bacterial SSU rRNA
Rfam family: Eukaryotic small subunit ribosomal RNA
Source: RNAcentral
AGUCAUAUGCUUGUCUCAAAGACUAAGCCAUGCAUGUCCAAGUACACGCCUUCACACGGCGAGACUGCGAAUGGCUCAUUAAAUCAGUUAUGGUUCCUUAGAUCGUACAAUCCUACUUGGAUAACUGUGGCAAUUCUAGAGCUAAUACAUGCCAACGAGCGCUGACCUCCGGGGAUGCGUGCAUUUAUCAGACCCAAAACCCAUGCGGGCCAAUCUCGGUUGCCCCGGCCGCUUUGGUGACUCUAGAUAACUUCGAGCCGAUCGCGCGCCCUUUGUGGCGGUGACGUCUCAUUCGAAUGUCUGCCCUAUCAACUUUCGAUGGUACUUUCUGUGCCUACCA